Brachypodium distachyon (stiff brome) is the source of this 2566-nucleotide long non-coding RNA. RefSeq lists it as uncharacterized. The transcript has 2 exons. NCBI's taxonomy places the organism in Eukaryota, Viridiplantae, Streptophyta, Magnoliopsida, Poales, Poaceae. The record is from RefSeq and is a predicted model, not a curated record.
UAUUGGCAAAAAAUGACUUCUAAAAUUAGUGGGUGGGGCAAACCCCAACUGGGUCCGCCCCUGCCCGCAGCCCCUGCUCUCCUCCGCCCCCGCCUCCCCUCUGCCCUCCAUAUCUGGCUCUCUCCGCGCGAGGUCGCCACCGGACGCUGUGGCCCCUGCAAGUUGAUGCCCGAGCUCUCCUCGGCAGCACCGUCGACCUCCUCCUUUCCUCGCGCCACCCUCCUCCCCGCCUCAGUUCUGCGGCGGCAGGGUGCGGGCUAGGUGGAAUCCCCGUCGGCGUUCGACCUAGAGCCGGCGCCGCCCGUCCUCGUCUCCGCCGACCGCCGUCCUGCCGGCUGCUGCUCCGUCGCCCGCCUCCCACCGGCCGGUGCUCCGCUGAAUCGUCCCGAGGCUCUGUCGGCCUCUUAUUCAACUGGAAUAAAUUGGAGGUUGAUUAAAAUUGGCUUCAGUUUUGAUUAUAGAAGGCGGAGAGGUGAAUAUAACUGAAUUAUCUUUGAAAGCUUUUCUCCCGUCAGAUUGGUGACCAUUACUUCAAAUGAAGGCUGAAGGUCCUAUUAGUCAAUUGUUUAUACAGUAAAGCAUCAGGUAUAUUUCUGUUGGUUCAGAAGUGCUCCCAAAAUUAGAGUUUGUGUUGUUUCAUUUCCGUCGAAAAUCUAAUUAUUUGUCAAGCAGGCAGUUUUAGAAAACUCAUCUUGUACCUUCCUAUGAAGACACAAAACUCUACACAAUGUACCUGUUGUGCUUCUUCUUGUUUACUGGUUACAAUCGUAGCUUAAGGCCCUGUUUGUUUGGUCUUUUGCUUCAGUUUUUGGUGCUUCUAGCUCUCUAAAAAGAAGCACCUUCGGACGUGCUUCUCAGCUUCCUGUGUAAACGGAAGAAGUGAUUUUUAGAGAGCUAGAAGCACCAAAAGUUAAAGCAGAAGACCAAACAAACAGGGCCUAAAAUGGUUGUUCAUACCUGAAACCUGCAGGUUUACAUAAGUCUAAAGAAUACUUAUUGAGUAAGAAGGAUCCAUAAAGAUCCAAGAUUCCUACAGAUGCAAUUUUUUUUUGCUAUUAUUGAGUUACAAUGUAAAUUACACAAAUUUUCUACAGAUUUUGCCUCCAUUGGUAUUCCCUACGAGGAGUCAGAACCAUGGUUUGAGGGAGACCCUCGAGACCUACAGCAAUUCGCCAACUUCCUGAGCGGAAUUUGUGGGCUGGAGUUAAUUUGGUAGCAUGAACGGCUGACUCUGACUGCAGAUAUUCCACAAGGAACCAUUUUUCUAUGGCCAUGAUCAACUUGUUAAGAUUGCGAAGUUAAAUGCCCUCCAUAUUUUCUCUUUUUUUUUUUGCCUUUUGAACUCUCAACGCAGAAAGGUUCUUUAUUAUUUUUCUCAACAUCGAUGGAUAUGCCGGAUGGCUUCAGUAGCCAUAGCAACACCUGUGUUUGCUUGAGGUGAAUCAAUAUUACAUGGUGAUUUACACUGAUUGCUCUGUUUCAAUCUUUUGUAGGUAGCUAUGCUGGCUACCAGUAGCCUGAUGGCGGCAUGUUUUUAUCUUCAAGCUGACAUAUCGAUCAUUUCUAGAUUUCCCUAUCCAAAAUCUUAAGCCGUGUUUCAUUUGGUAGUUGUGUUGGUAUGGCUACUGAAGCCCCCAGUAGCAAAAUAAUAUAUCUCAGUUAGCAAACACUAAAACAACAACUCUCUGAUGCAAGACAACAUGACUUACCAGGCAUACCCAAAUCUGUAUAGGAAUUCAUCAAACACUUUUAUGUGUAGUAUAGAGUUUGUUCACCAGUGAUCAGUUGUUAGUAGUGUGCUUUUGAUUUCCGGAAAACAGUCAAGUAGUAGCACACACACUAGACGCAAUACUGAUUGUUCCCUUAAUGUAAGUUCAAGAUUGAGCAGAAUUGAGCACCGUUUUUAUUACCUUUCAAGUUUUCUAUCAAGUCCUGCCAUUGUAAACACAAAAGUAUUUUACUUUGUCAAGACUGAGCAAACUUUAAUUUCACUGGCAUGCACCACUUCAUCGAUACACUGGGCAAACUCUAUUUCAAAUUCUUUCUUUACCUGAAUGUUGCAGACUGGUAAGCCUGUUUCACUGUAUUCUCUCCAUUAACGUUUGGUAGUUGUUCUUUCAGAUUCAUUUCAAUGAAGUUGUUAGCUUAAUCAAACAAGCUGCUGCUGAUGAUUAGUACUCUUGAAACCCCAUAAUUAAUGUUGAUGUUGUAGGGACAGUGCACUGAUGAUCUGCGUGCUCAGAAGCACAAGUAGGAUGAUCUUUUAAUUAGUUUGGAAUUUUACUACUUGCUCUUUAUCUACUUAAUCUUGCUGGUGUUUUCAUUCAUCGAGGGUUAUGGUGGUUCCAUCUAUACAGAAAAUUUACUCGUGACUUAGUAGCAUGGUCAAUACAUGCUCUGUAGCUUCAAAACUUCAGUUUCACAUAGGAGAUUUCCUAUGUUUCAAAAAUAUUGUUUGUAAUUUCUGCUCAUAUAUUAAUUGAAUCCUAGAAGCAAUUUUUUUUGUUUAUAUUUAUGUAACACAUGCUAUAUAUCCUACGUAUAUAUCAAGUUUAUAUCCUUACAA